Molecule: ribosomal RNA, 460 nt
Filed under: uncultured bacterium
Lineage: Bacteria
Description: partial 16S ribosomal RNA
Rfam family: Bacterial small subunit ribosomal RNA
Source: RNAcentral
CCUACGGGAGGCAGCAGUGAGGAAUAUUGGUCAAUGGGCGCGAGCCUGAACCAGCCAAGUAGCGUGAAGGAUGACUGCCCUACGGGUUGUAAACUUCUUUUAUAAAGGAAUAAAGUGAGGCACGUGUGCCUUUUUGUAUGUACUUUAUGAAUAAGGAUAGGCUAAAACCCUUCCCGCCGCCGCGGUAAUACGGAGGAUCCUAGCGUUAUCCGGAUUUAAUGGGUUUAAAGGGAGCGUAGAUGGGAUGGUAAGUCAGGUGUGAAAGUUUGCGGCUCAACCGUAAAAUUGCAAUUGAUACUGGCAGACUUGAGUACAGGAGAGGUAAGCGGAAUUCGUGGUGUAGCGGUGAAAUGCUUAGAUAUCACGAAGAACUCCGAUUGCGAAGGCAGCUUACUGGCCUGCAACUGACAUUGAGGCUCGAAAGUGUGGGUAUCAAACAGGAUUAGAUACCCGGGUAGUC